RNAcentral lists this long non-coding RNA (1811 nucleotides) under Megachile rotundata (alfalfa leafcutting bee). RNAcentral's name for it is "uncharacterized LOC105661858, transcript variant X2". The record is from RNAcentral. Lineage: Eukaryota; Metazoa; Arthropoda; Insecta; Hymenoptera; Megachilidae.
AGAUACGCGGCACCUGUUUCCCAAGUAUCAAUUGCUCAGGCAAUUAACACGUUUAAUAAAAGAAUUAAUACGUAAACGAUAUUUAUUUCGUAAGAUAUCUGAUGUGCUGUCGUUUUUCCAAAAAGGAGACUUUGUUGAAAAAUCGAAAUGUACCCGUAACAGGAUAACAGAUAAGUUAGGAAGUUGUAUUGCACGUGAUCCCAAAGGAAUCAUGUCAAGAUAGGAGGACAAACAAAUCCAUCGGGGAUGGUUGUAUACUUCGUUUUCCAUGACCUGGGUCAAUCUGGAAAUACGAGGAACAAGAUUUUUGUUGGACGAGAAAAUUCCGAUACCGGGAGAACGAAUUUCCCUCACUAUUAGGAGGCCAUGUUCUAGCGGAAGCUGAAAAUCCGGGAGAGCUUUGCCCGUGGGAUACUCUCGAUUCAAUGAGAUCCUGCUAAAUCCCGAUCAGAAAUCAGUACUAUGGAUAAAUAUACAAGCGCAAUUCUAUAGUGAAAAUAAAUUGAUUUCUUCGAUAUUACGAAGUGCAAUUUACUGAUUGUAAUUUAUAUAAUGCAAGUUUCUAUUAUUCUCUUUUUUGAAUAGAAAAAAUAGGGCAAAGUGUAUAAAUAGGAGAAUUGCCCUAAAGAAGUUGACAGCAUCGUUUCUGAGGCCCUGGUAAAGAAACUCUCCUCCACUCCUCCAAGCUGGUAUUUUCCACGUACUCAUUGCAUUCGAUGAACGAUCAGAUAUCUGAGGUGGCAGCUGCUGCAUCAGUAGGUAGAAAAAGUGUCAAUUCGUCCGAAAAUCCAGGACUAGCGUACCAGGCGGUCAGGACGAUUCAAAGUGCCUCUAUAACAAGGUGACCGGAAUUCUGAUUCCCUUGGGAUUCUCCCGGGAAUGGAAUAGCCGCGACAAGCAAGGGAGAAGCGAAUUUCCUCGUGUUCAAAGGAAGAAAAGGAAUAGGCGGUAAGUUAUCAGGAGUUCAGGCUAGCUGAAGGUAUCCUAAGGAAACCGAGUGGAAGAGGGUGGCUUUCGCUCAACCGCAAGGGUUGCUGUUCGAUAAAAGGGUGGUUAUUUAGAAAUCCAAAGACACAGAAAAUUAUACAUCCCCCAAUUUUCAGUCAAUAGCGUUAACUCUACGAUGUCAGAAUGCGGAAAAAGAAAUAAAUGGUUUAUACGGAAAAGAAUAAUAUAGUAUCGAUCGCACGGGAAAUUUAAAAGAAGAUAUACUUCACGAAUUUAAUAUCACGAUAUUGGAAGGGAUUGAUGCUCGGUCCUUGAUGUAGGUCGAUACCUGGAACCUGGAAGUUUCGACGGUGCAAUCGACACGGUUCGAUGAAGUUACGAGGGCAUAACGUUACGUAUAGAACGUAAACGUAAAGCGAGAAGUGUAGCACGUAAGUCGUAAACGCUGGUAGUUGGUAGAACGGCAUCCAAUACGGAUACAAUCGCACCUAGAUGUACAAUGUACGUACACCGUCGCGUUCCUGAAACGUAUAAAGUUUCAGCAACGUCAAGUGGUAGUAGAAUGAUAGAAUGUGUACAGCCGAGGAAGGAUAUUCGAGUUUUACGCUCGAAGCGGUAGAAGUUAAAGAGCGUUUCAUACGAAAGGACCCUCUGGGUUUCAUCGGAAAAGCUCCGCCGCGAUUCACGCAGAAACGAUAAAACGGAAAUGAGUUUGUAACUCGGAAUGAAUCGGGAAUUAUAGUAGGUUGAAAUUUUUCUUUCGAAAGUGGCUGAUUUUGUGAAAUAUUCCUUGAAAAAUUUUAUGCGAGUCAAUAAGCGACGUUUUGUAUUCGCCUGCAAUUUUUAUUAAUGAAGUUUUUUAU